AGAACAAGCGGCAACUUUGAGAUAAGCGGGUAAAAGUUUUUGUUAUUGACUCUACCUUUCUUGUCUAGUUGUCCGUCUUUCUUUGCAAAAGAGGUUCUCUCUCUGAUUUUCUGUUUGUGCUCUCUCUUCUCACUUUCGGCGGUAGAUUUCAGUUUAUUUGAGCUGCACUUUCAGGGAUCGACCAAACUUCUAAUCUGGCUCGCUUGGGACGUCUUGAGGUUUGGUUGAAUUUCUCUGCUUCCAUUUACUUCCUCUCUUUGGUUUCUGCUUCGAUUGUACUUCCUCGAUUUGGUUUCAUGUAAUAUGAUGCAUCUGGAUUCUGGAUGUAUAUAUGUUAUUAUAAUAGAUUUUUAGAUGCACAUAUAUGCAAGUUUUGUUUUGUUCUGUCUAUCCAUCUCUGUCUCAUUUCCCCCCUUUUUCCCAAUAGAUUCACUUGAUACCCAUUUGCCAGGCAAGAGUUUGAGAUUGUAUUAGGCAAGAGGAAGGUUCAAAUCCUCUGGAGGAAGCAUCUUGCACAAUACCAAGGCUUCUUCAAAGUCACUAGAUGCUGUUAACUAUACAAUCUGCAAAACCAGUAAUAUCCAAUUUGGUAGUUUACUCUGCACCAGGGUGCACUAUAUGAAUUGAUGGCGGAGAUCAAAUCUAGUCGACUCCUAUCAGAUCUCCGGUUGAAGUGAGACUCGAUGUUGAGAAGGAUUUUGUGCCUGAAGAUACGAAUAAUAAAGGAUCUUUUUGCAGCCUAUACGGGAAAAGUUGAUUGAAUUUGAAAAACAACUUAAGGAUAGGCAGAGUUGGUUUCCAUGGCUGGAUUUUGCUGUAGUUGUGGGUUGCACAAGCAUCAGACUUGUUUAUUAUAAUAUUACAGUUGAAGAUUAUGUCUAAGCUUGUAACAGGGAGAGAACCACUCCAUAUGGAACACAUAGUAUAAUGGAAUCAGACAUUUUUUAUAUGUUUUAUCGUAUUUCAUCUGCUUGGUCUA
Molecule: long non-coding RNA, 979 nt
Organism: Daucus carota subsp. sativus
Lineage: Eukaryota; Viridiplantae; Streptophyta; Magnoliopsida; Apiales; Apiaceae
Exons: 5
Source: RefSeq, a predicted model, not a curated record